UACGUAGGGCGCAAGCGUUGUCCGGAAUUAUUGGGCGUAAAGAGCUCGUAGGCGGCUUGUCACGUCGGUUGUGAAAGCCCGGGGCUUAACCCCGGGUCUGCAGUCGAUACGGGCAGGCUAGAGUGUGGUAGGGGAGAUCGGAAUUCCUGGUGUAGCGGUGAAAUGCGCAGAUAUCAGGAGGAACACCGGUGGCGAAGGCGGAUCUCUGGGCCAUUACUGACGCUGAGGAGCGAAAGCGUGAGGAGCGAACAGG
This 253-nucleotide ribosomal RNA is filed under the name uncultured bacterium. Its description in RNAcentral is "partial 16S ribosomal RNA". It matches the Rfam family "Bacterial small subunit ribosomal RNA", at positions 524 to 776 of the family's 1533-position model. The record is from RNAcentral.